Molecule: ribosomal RNA, 438 nt
Filed under: Triticum aestivum (bread wheat)
Lineage: Eukaryota; Viridiplantae; Streptophyta; Magnoliopsida; Poales; Poaceae
Description: partial small subunit ribosomal RNA
Source: RNAcentral
AUGAACCCCUCCUUGUCCCCAGGUCCGAAUGGCCUGCCUGUUGCGUUCUUUAAAACAUUCUGGCAGACUGUUAAACCGGAGGUCAUGGCCUUAUUCGAGGAGUUCUAUUCGGGCUCUAUGGACCUAGAACGCCUCAACUAUGGGAUCAUUACCCUCAUCCCUAAGGUUUCGGGCACCUCUGAUAUUCGCCAGUUCCGCCCUAUCACUGUGAUUAAUGUGAUAUUCAGGAUCCUGGCCAAAGGGUACGCCAAUAGGGUGACCCUGCUCGCUGACUCGGUCACUCACCCUAACCAAUCGGCCUUCAUCCAAGGCCGGUUUAUUCUCGAUGGCGUGUUGGUCUUCCAUGAAUUCCUUCACGAACUACGGACGAAACAUCAUCGUGCUGUCUUCCUGAAGCUUAACUUCCAUAAAGCCUAUGAUACUGUUCACUGGCCUUUC